Molecule: long non-coding RNA, 6380 nt
Filed under: Sus scrofa (pig)
Lineage: Eukaryota; Metazoa; Chordata; Mammalia; Artiodactyla; Suidae
Description: lncRNA (ENSSSCG00005019453.1)
Source: RNAcentral
UUUUUUUUUUUCCUUUUUGAGAAUUUGCUUACUUUUUGACAUUACAAGAUUCUAAGCUUAUCUUGUAUAUUUUCUGCCCAGAAACUAAAUCUAUUAUUUCUCCAAGAAACCUUGGUUUCUUUCUGUGGAGAACGGUAUUAGAAAAAAAGAUCUGGGUACUAGGUGUAUCAUAACUUGUAUCAUAACUUGUAAUAUCUAAUAUCCAUAGAUAUUACUAUAUGUGACUACCUGUAUCUAUAGUAAGUUAGACAUGAGUUUAUAGUGAUGUCUCCAACUCCAACCCAUGUCUAAGUCCAUUAUGACAUGGUUCAUUCUAAUAUGCUUCCUUCAGUUUUCUGUGAACUCCCAUUUGAAUUAUGAGGAAUCUGUCUUUCACCAUUUAUCACCCAUUUACUUAAUUGUUCAAAUCCAGGAUACAUGUAUAGCGGUAUCAGAUUUGUUAACACCUAUCAGUAUGAAAUCAACUUUAUCAGCUAGAGCACAGUGCUUAUAUACUGUUCCUUUUCCCUGAUUCUUACAGACUCCACUCAUUUUCAAAAUUAUUUAGGUCUGCAUCUUUCUUCCCACCACCCUCAGUGAUGUUUCACAUGCUUAUAAUACUGCUAGAUUCUGUAUUCCAACCUAGGAUUCUCUGGCCACUUAAAUGAUCUAUAUUUAAGUUGAAUGCAUAAAGGUUAACUUCUUGUGUUAUAAAGCAUAUGGUUUUGACAAAAGUGUAGUGUGGUUUCACUGCCCUAAAAAAACAUCUUAUAUUUCAUAUAUCUAAUACCCCACUGCACAUCUCUGUUUCCCUCACCUCCAAAUCCCUUGAAAACUUUGAUCUUAUAACUGUAGCGGUGAUAUUGCCUUUCCAGAUUGCCAUAUAAUUGGAACUACAAAGUCAUUAGCCUUUUCACACUGGCUUUUUAAAUUUUGCAGUCUGCAGUUAAGGUUCCUAUAUGUGGCUGCUUUUGUAGCUCAUUUAUUUUUAUUGCUGAAUAAUAUUCCAUUUUAUGAAUGCUUGUUAUUUACUCACCUAUUGAAGACAUUUGAGUUGGCUUUAGUUUCAGGCAAUUAUGAAUAAUAUUAGUAUACAUAUUUGUAUACAGGUGUUUGUGUGGGCGUAAGUUUUCAAAUCAGUUGGGUAAAUACUAAGGAGCAGAAUUCCUGGAUCAUAAUGUAAAAUGACAGUUAGCUUUAUAAUAAACUGACAAACUCUCCUCCAAAACGUCUGUAUCAUUUUGCAUCUCCAGUAAAAUAAAUGACAGUUCCUCUUGAUUUAUAUCUUCUAUAGCAUUUGAUAUUAUCAUUCUUUUGGAUUUUUAGCCAAUUUAAGAGGUAUGCAGUAGUAGCUCACUGUUAUUUUAAUUCACAGUUCCCUGAUGACAAAUGAUGAUUUUUCUUAUUGAUUUCUAGUUUAAUUCCACUGUCACCUGAGAACAUACUUUGUAUGAUUUCUGCUUUAAAAAUAUAAAGGUGGGUUUUAUGGCCUAGAAUGUGGUCUAUUUGGUGAAUGGUCCACAUGUGACAAGAAUGCUUAUUCUAUCAAUGCCAAUUAAAUGCAGUUGAUUGAUAGUACUGUUAAGGUCAACUAUAUUCUUGCUGAUUUUGUGUCUUUUUUGAUAUACCAAUUACUAAAAAAGGAAAGUUGAAGCCUAGAGCUAUAAUAGUGAAUUUGUGUAUUUCUCCUCACAGUUGUAUAAUUUUUCACCUCACAUGUGUUGGUGCUUUGUUAUUAAGCACAUACACAUUUAGGAUUGUUAUACCUUCUUGGAGACUUACCCUCUUUAUCAUUAUGUAAUACUGAUUUAUCAAUACCUACAUUAUCACACUGGCAUGUCCAAAAGACAUACCUUACACUGCAACUAUAAGAAAUAAAUUUGUGAGGGGACCCCCAGCAUCCUUGAAGACUUCUAUGCCCUCUCUUUUUCUUAGUCCAGACCUUAGAGUGAGAACUUCAGUCACCUAAUUGGAAGCAAGGGUGGCAGGGGCCAAGUGGCAAAACUCAGCAGCCAAAGACAAAGAAGGCAUGAUUACUAUGAUGGACAGCAGAGUCAAAGCAGCGGUCAUAAGGGUUUGGGUUGGAGGAGUAAAUUAAAUAGCAAAGACGGAGUUCCCAUCAUGGCACAGCAGAGACAAAUCCAACUAGGAACCAUGAGGCUGUGGGUUCAACCCUGGCCUCACUCAGUGGAUCAAGGAUCUGGCCUGCCGUGAGCUGUGGUGUAGGUCGCAGAUGCAGCUUGGAUCUGGUGUUUCUGUGGCUGUGGCACAGGCCAGUGGCUGUAGCUCAGAUUAGACCCCUAGCCUGGGAACCUCCAUAUGCUGCCAGUGCAGCCCUAAAAAGACAAAAGACAAAAAAAAAAUGGCAAAGAGAUGAGGGAAAAUUUUUAGAGUGAUGAAACUCUUCUGUAUAUUUACUGUGGCUGUACAUAUAUAAUGGUACACAUUUUUCAAAACUCACUGAACUCUAUACUUUAAAGAGGUAAUUUUUUCUAUAUGUAAACUAUGAUGCAAUCAGCCAGACUUAAAAAAGCCACAGAGAUAAAUGUGGUGCAAUGGAAAUAAAAUAAUCUUAGGAUUCAAAAAUGCUUGAGUGUGAUUUCUAGUUUCUCUGCUUAUGAGCUCUGUCAUUUAACCAUUCACCCACUGAUCCAUCCAUCUAUUCAAUCAAAAUUUUAAAAAUAUUCCAUAUGUUGAGAAUGGUUAACUAACUAGAUAGGCAAAAUCAUUGCCUUCUUGAUCCAGUAUAUUUGAACUGAUGUCUGAAAAAUAAGAAGGAAUAACUGGGGGAACCAUCUAGGAAAUGCAUUCUAGGCAAAGAUAAAAUAAGGCAGUGGAAAGAGAUGGGAACAAGAAUUACAUGUUUGAAAGUAGUGUAGAACACCCAUGUGGCUGUAAUGAGUGAGCUAAGAAGUAGAAGGAGAUGACAUCAGAGGAGUGGCAGUUACCAGACCAUAGAUGCACCCAUGGGCUCUGAUAAAUGGGGGUUUUAUUCUGAAAGCAAUGUUAAUCCACUAAAAGGCUUUAAGCCAAAUAUGUCACAUGCUCAGAUACAUGUUUUAAAAGGCACUAUUCCAGUCAAUGUACGGAGAAUUGCCUAAGGCAGGUGGGUAAUGUUGGAAGAUAGGGACAGAAUGAAAACUGAUGGAUCAGACAUGGUGAGUGAGAAAAAUAAAGGAUGUCUUAGGAUUCUUUACUGAACCUACUUGACUUUUUAAAAAAUUUUGUUAAGUGAAACUAGUAAAAUUUAUUUAAUAAUUCUAUUGAGAGGGUUACUUGAGACAAUAUAUGUAGGAUACUGAUAACAGAGUCUACCACAGAUUGAGGUGCCCACAUAUUAUUUGCUAAUUUUUUGUCCAUCAAAAUUUUAUCAGUGUGAAUACAAAUAGAUAUCUUUGUCCUUCAGAAAACACUCAGAACCUAAUUUUUUAACUGUCAAAUCAGAUUCUAUUGCUCUCUUUCUCUAAGGCCUAAUUAUCAUCCAGUUUUUGAAAUAAGUAACAGCUAAACAGAAUUGAAGGAUUUGGCUUCUGGGGGAAGGGGUUGAGGGGGGCAUAUAUACCUUGUAUUGGUUCGAAAACGGGGGUCUUUUUUAUAAAAGGUAAGAGAUAUUUCACACAGUCCCACUUCUCACUUAAUACUUAUUAAAAAUACUAAUUCUUCCAUUUAAAAAUGACAAAUUAAACUUUAUAUUUGGAGAAACCAGUAAAAGUAAAUAUCAUCAAUGUCUUAUAUAUGAGAUUUUCCUUCUGAGAACACUUUACUUUUUUAGUAUAAAUCUGUAAACAUAUUUAAAUCUAUUUUAAUUACAGAGAAUUAUAACCAGGUUCUGAAAAUUUGAUUUUCUGUGUAAUAGCCUUAUGAUCAUGAUGAAGGGCUUACCAAUUUCUCCAAGAUAUAAAUGAUUUACUCCUUAAAUUCUCUGAAGCAACAGAUGUCGUCAGUAAUUUUCUGCAUAUUUAUUUUUUCAUUACUUAAUUACUUCAAUCCUGGUUCCAUUUAAGUGUUAUUUCUGAGGGUUAGUGAAAUGAUCCACUUGGAUGACUAUAUCAAUAAAACCUCAGCUAGCUAAUGGAUAUAAUAAGCAUGAUAUUCCUUGAGUUAAUGAAUAAAAAAUCACAUAGUGUUACAGAGAUUAUGCCAUCUGAUAAAUAGAAAGAAAAUAAGAAUAAAAUAUUAACAAAGAAUCAAAGAAAUAUGGGGCACCAUUAAGAACACCAAGAUCCACAUAAAAGGAAUCAAAGAUGGAGAAGAGAAGGAAAAGAGCAGGAAAAAAUAAUAACUGUAAGUGCUUAAAUCUGAGGAAAAAUAUUAAUCUACAUUUCCAAAAAGUUCAAUGAACCCCAAGUAGGAUAAAUGCAAAGAAAUUCACACUCAGAUUUAUCAUACUAAAAAGUAUUGAAAGUCAAAGACACACACAAAGUCAAAGACAAAGAAAAAAAUACUAAAAACAGAAAGAGAAAAAGGAUUAAUCACAUACUAGGAAACCCCAAUUAUAUCAAUGACUGACUUUUAUUCAAAAAAAAUGGAGGCCAGAACACAGUGGGACAGCAUACCUAAAGUGCUGCAGAAAAUGAAGAACAUUCAACCAAUAAUUAUAUCCAGAAAAAUAAUGUUUUAAAAAUACUAAGACCAAAUAAAAACAUUCUGAGAAAACUCAUUGGUAGCAGAUCAAUCCUACAAGAAAUAUUAAAGAAAGUUCUUCAGAAAGAAUGAAUAUAAGUAUGUAUGACUGGGUCACUUUCUUGUACAGUAGAAAUUGACACAACACUGUAAAUCAACUAUAAUGGAAAAAUAAAAAUCAUAAAAAAACAAAAAAUAAAUAAAAAGAAAGUUCCUUAGGCAAAAAGCAACUAACAUACAGAAAAAAUUUUAUCUACAUGAAAAAAGAAAGUGCAUCACUUAAAGUAACCAUGAAAAUAGUUGUAAAAUAACUAUAAUUUCACAUUUAUUUUCAUUUUGGUCUUAUUUAAUUUGAAAAGCAAUUACCUGAAAACAUAGGCCAAACACUCUGAGAUAAACCAUAGCAAUAUCUUCUCAGAUCCACCUCCUAGAGUAAUGACAACAAAAACAAAAAUAAACAAAUGGGACCUAAUUUAACUUAAAAAUUUCUGUACAGCAAAGGAAACCCUAAACAAAAUGAAAAGACAACCCACAGAAUGGGAGAAAAUACUUUCAAAUGAAGCAACUGACAAAGGAUUGAUCUAUAAAAUUUCUAAAUACUUCUUGCAACUAAAUACCCAAAAAACAGACAACCCCAUCAAAAAAAUGGGCAGAAGAUCUAAACAGACAUUUCUCCAAAGAAGACAUACAGAUGGCCAAAAAACACAUGAAAAGAUUGUUAGAGAAGUACUAAUUACUAGAGAAAUACAAAUCAAAACUACUAUGAGGUACUACCUUACACAGCCGAAAUGGCCAUCAUCAAAAAUUCUAUAAACAAUAAAUGCUGGAAAGGGUAUGGAGAAAGGGAACCCUAUUACACUCUUGGUGGGAAUGUAAAUUGAUGCAACUAUUAUGCAAAACAGUAUGGAGAUUACUCAAAAAAACUAAAAAUAGAACUACCAUUUGACCCAGCAAUCCCACUCCUGGGCAUCUAUCCAGAGAAAACCAUGACUCGAAAAGAUAUGUACUCCAAUGUUCAUUGCAGCACUAUGUACAAUAGCCAAGACAUGGAAACAGCCUAGAAGUCCAAUGACAGAGGAGUGGAUAAUGAAGAUGUUGUACAUAUACACAAUGGAAUAUUACUCAGCCAUUAAAAGGAAAGAAAUAGCAGUAUUUGCAGCAACAUGGAUGGACCUAGAAAUUAUCACGCUAAGUGAAGUUGGUCAGACAGUGAGACAUCAAUGUCACAGGCUAUCACUUAUAUGUGGAAUCUGAAAAAAGGAUACAAUAAACUUCUUUGCAGAACAGACAGUGACUCACAGACUUUAAAAAACUUAUUGUUUCCAAAGGAGACAGGUUGGGGGGGUGGAGGGGAUGGACUGGGUUUGGGGAUGGAAAUGUUAUAAAAUUGGGUUGUGAUGAUUGUUGUCCAACUAUAAAUGUAAUAAAAUUCACUGAGUUAAAAAAAAAGGAUAACAAGGCAAAAAUAAAUAAAUAAAAAGCAAUUACCUUAAACAACAAUUAUAUUGUUGGAUCUACAGCACAUACAAAUGUAAUAUAUCAGAAAAACAAAAGAGACAGAUGGGAAAAUUGUUCUGGAAAUAAAAUGACACUUUAUGGCAACUCAAGUUUACUUAAUAUAACAAAAAGUGUAUAUAUAUAUCCUUGUUACAUUUUCUUCCCUCAGCUUCUUUAAAAUACAUAAAAUUAUACAGACUGACAAACAUAAUGUAUUGAUGGCUUUAUUUUAUAUGUAGGUAUAAUAUCUAUAACAAUAACAGCAAAAACUAAGAAGAGAA